RNAcentral lists this ribosomal RNA (492 nucleotides) under uncultured bacterium. Its description in RNAcentral is "partial 16S ribosomal RNA". It matches the Rfam family "Bacterial small subunit ribosomal RNA", at positions 29 to 507 of the family's 1533-position model. The record is from RNAcentral.
AGUGAACGCUGGCGGUAGGCCUAACACAUGCAAGUCGAACGGCAGCACAGUAAGAGCUUGCUCUUACGGGUGGCGAGUGGCGGACGGGUGAGGAAUACAUCGGAAGCUACUUUUUCGUGGGUGAUAACGUAGGGAAACUUACGCUAAUACCGCAUACGACCUACGGGUGAAAGCAUGGGAUCUUCGGACCUUGCGCGAUUGAAUGAGCCGAUGUCGGAUUAGUUAGUUGGCGGGGUAAAGGCCCACCAAGGCGACGAUCCGUAGCUGGUCUGAGAGGAUGAUCAGCCACACUGGAACUGAGACACGGUCCAGACUCCUACGGGAGGCAGCAGUGGGGAAUAUUGGACAAUGGGCGCAAGCCUGAUCCAGCCAUACCGCGUGGGUGAAGAAGGCCUUCGGGUUGUAAAGCCCUUUUGUUGGGAAAGAAAAGCAGCAGGUUAAUACCCCGCUGUUCUGACGGUACCCAAAGAAUAAGCACCGGCUAACUUCGUG